GCCCUUAGAGUUUGAUCCUGGCUCAGGAUGAACGCUGGCGGCGUGCUUAACACAUGCAAGUCGAGCGAAGCGCUUAAGUUUGAUUCUUCGGAUGAAGACUUUUGUGACUGAGCGGCGGACGGGUGAGUAACGCGUGGGUAACCUGCCUCAUACAGGGGGAUAACAGUUAGAAAUGACUGCUAAUACCGCAUAAGACCACAGGAUCGCAUGAUCCGGUGGUAAAAACUCCGGUGGUAUGAGAUGGACCCGCGUCUGAUUAGCUAGUUGGUGGGGUAACGGCUCACCAAGGCGACGAUCAGUAGCCGACCUGAGAGGGUGACCGGCCACAUUGGGACUGAGACACGGCCCAAACUCCUACGGGAGGCAGCAGUGGGGAAUAUUGCACAAUGGGCGAAAGCCUGAUGCAGCGACGCCGCGUGAAGGAUGAAGUAUUUCGGUAUGUAAACUUCUAUCAGCAGGGAAGAAAAUGACGGUACCUGACUAAGAAGCCCCGGCUAACUACGUGCCAGCAGCCGCGGUAAUACGUAGGGGGCAAGCGUUAUCCGGAUUUACUGGGUGUAAAGGGAGCGUAGACGGCAUGGCAAGUCUGAAGUGAAAGCCCGGGGCUCAACCCCGGGACUGCUUUGGAAACUGUCAGGCUAGAGUGCUGGAGAGGUAAGUGGAAUUCCUAGUGUAGCGGUGAAAUGCGUAGAUAUUAGGAGGAACACCAGUGGCGAAGGCGGCUUACUGGACAGUAACUGACGUUGAGGCUCGAAAGCGUGGGGAGCAAACAGGAUUAGAUACCCUGGUAGUCCACGCCGUAAACGAUGACUACUAGGUGUCGGGUAGCAAAGCUAUUCGGUGCCGCAGCAAACGCAAUAAGU
RNAcentral lists this ribosomal RNA (863 nucleotides) under uncultured Bacillota bacterium. Its description in RNAcentral is "bacterial SSU rRNA". It matches the Rfam family "Bacterial small subunit ribosomal RNA", at positions 1 to 865 of the family's 1533-position model. Lineage: Bacteria; Bacillati; Bacillota. The record is from RNAcentral.